AUUAAACCAAUGACCAUCAGCUUUCUGUCAUUUGCUACUAAGAACUUGGUUUGGAUGCACCUGGGUCAGUUCAGCUCCUAGAACGCUCUCCCAGAUAAACGGCAGGCUGGGGAGCUGUAGGCCUUGCUUGUAGGAUUGCUAUAUCAAUUCUCCAACCUGAGACUGUGAGGUCUCCUCAGCACUGGAGUGUGUGAAACUGCUUUUCUGGAUGGGAAGAUGUAUCCUGGGACUCAUCCAGAUAGCUCUAGCAUACGCUCAGAGUAACCAGAUACAAGUUGGCUCCCCGUCUGUGUUCAGCUUGGUACCUUGGAAGUCCAAGUGAAGGCUGACCAUUUAGACACAGCAGCCGUCUCACCCCCCACACAGCAGUAACUUAACACAUCUUUGAUGAACCGGCUGGCCUCUGUCUCAUCCAUGGGCUGAUGGAAGUGCUGAGGGCAGCAGUAGGCAAGGGAUGUUUGGCUACAGGGACCUGGGGAAAAAAGCUUCUCCCGUAGCCAUCUCCAUCAGCCCACAGCAGAGGGAGAGAAGGAGAUCUUUCCCAAGCCAGUCACCUCUCCACGCUCCCCAAAAUGCAGGAUGGUGACCCUGUCUGAGGGAAGCUGAUGAAGCCCUACAGGAGGGAGAUCUGAGUCAUGAGAGCCUUCUCAUGGAAAUUUACUUCCUGGCCUCCUUUCUGCUGCACACUGAGAACAGAAGAUGAACUAGGACGUGGUAGAGGGAAGCUGCAAUGGUCCCAGAGAGAAGCAGAGGAUUGCUGGCUUAGAAGAAAGCUUGCUUCCCAGGUUUGAGUGUUAGCUGAACCACACAGAGGACUGGCUGUGACCAGACAAAAUGGCCUUGCUGAAUUAAGCCAGACAGAAGAAACAAACCCCCUAAAAAAUCAUGUCCCAACAGGUAAAAGGGUAAGAGCUUGGGAGCAUUGGUAAGGAAACAAGAGCUCCAGGAUAACGUAAUCAGGAACAUCCUUCAACCAAUUACAGCACAUGCACUUUAUCUGCAGAUCUUACCCUUGGUGUUAUUCAGCUCAUAUGCUCUCAAUUCACUACAAAAGAGCAAAAAAUGAGCCAUCGGGAUGAUCUGAGAACCCACUCUUUCUGUCCUCAACCCUGGCUGACAGCACAGCUAAUGAUUUAUUUUCAUUUCUAUGUAUUUUAUGUCAAUCUGAUAGAUGUUCCCAGCAAUGUCAGUGGCAAAACAUCAGACAGUAGCAGAGUGCUGAGGGUCCCCUCUCAGCAGCAGCCCUAGGGUGGUUGCUGCUGGAAGGGAGGUGCCGAGAACCUGGCCAGAUAUUCAAGCUUUCAUUUGUUUCGCUGCCCCACUUAAUCCUCACAGCGUCCGAAGCCAGAAACGCUUCACUUAGAUUAAUGAGCCAAACUAAAACAAACCCGCAGGCUUCAAGCACGUGAGCUCCUGUUUAACACUGUGAGACCCGCUACUAACAGCAGCUUGGCUGCAGUACAGCUCACUAAGAAAGCUCUUUUUUUCCCCUUUUGGGCUUUUCUCCAGAGAUGAGGGGCUGGUGAGAGGAUCUGAGGACUGAACCCAUUGGGGUUUGUGCUGCUGCUGCCAACUAAAUCCCCAGUCCCAGCUGAGGUGGGCUGCUAGAUCAUAGAAUCAUAGAAUCAUUAAGGUUGGAAGGACUACUAAGUUCAUCUAGUCCAACCAUCAGCCCAUUCCUGUGACUGCUCUAGCGUGCGUCCCUCACUGCCACAUCUGCCCUGUUCUGGAACACCUCCAGGGAUGGUAACUCCACCACCUCACUGGGCAGCCUAUUCUGAUAUCUCAACACUCUUUGUGAGAAGAAAUCUUUUCCUAAUGUCCAACCUGAACCUUCCCUGGUGCAACUUAAGGCCAUUAGAUGCCUACCGUGCAGUCACUCUGAGCAGCUGCUGGAGGAACUCUGGGCAAAAAGUCAUCAAUUCAGACUUAACACUAAGCAAAAAUAUCUCAUUGGUCUCAUGUUGGAGUAGCUCCCACUUUUUUUCUCAUGUUGGUAAAAGAACUUCACUGCUUUAUGUUUAUGGUGUAUGAAGAGGUCCAAAUCUCUCCUUCCUUUGUUUCUCAG
Molecule: long non-coding RNA, 2068 nt
Organism: Gallus gallus (chicken)
Lineage: Eukaryota; Metazoa; Chordata; Aves; Galliformes; Phasianidae
Source: Ensembl